This 448-nucleotide long non-coding RNA is filed under the name Ursus thibetanus thibetanus. Its description in RNAcentral is "lncRNA (ENSUTTG00000008653.1)". The record is from RNAcentral. Lineage: Eukaryota; Metazoa; Chordata; Mammalia; Carnivora; Ursidae.
UGAGGCUGCCCCUGGGCAGCAAUGGGGAGGCCCCCAAGGUGUCCCUGACAACAGAAGAUGUGGCCAUGUGACUCAGAGCAGGAGUGGGGCAGCCUGGAACACCAGCAGAAGGAGCUCCGCAAGCACAUGAAAGGGAACCACAAGACUGAUCUCCCUGGGUAAGAGGCUGGCUCCUGGGGGCUUCUAGGCCCAGAGUCCUUGACUUUAUUCCUUUAUGGAAUCAAAUGAGCCUCUUAGAUUUGAGAACAGAAAGCACUUUGAGAUCCUUUGAUCAGCUGUCUUCAAGCAGAUCAAGAGACCAAGGCGCAGAGUGGCUGAAUAAAUUGUCCCAUUUCAUGUAGCCGUAGGAGCAGAGCCUCUCACACCCCGUUGAGGAGAACCAGCCACACAACCACAUUAGCUUGCAGCGGAGGCCUGGAAACAUGGUCCUGUUUAGGUGGCCACGUGC